This 1460-nucleotide long non-coding RNA is filed under the name Marmota monax (woodchuck). The record is from RNAcentral. Lineage: Eukaryota; Metazoa; Chordata; Mammalia; Rodentia; Sciuridae.
CUUGAUGUUCAAAUUAGUCUUUGUCUAUACAGUGUUAACAUUGGUUUUCAUUUAGUAAAGAGUUUCGAAGAAAAAAAUGUUUUGGAUACUUAAAUAAUAUGUAAUUGCCAGGAAUGGUUCCUUCAUAUGUUAAUUGUCAUCUUAAUGAAAUAAUGAGAUAUAUCAAGUGGUAGUUCAUCACAUAUUGGUCUCUAUAUUGCAAAGUGCUAAUUAGUUUACUGUAAAAAAAUUAUUUGUGCAAAGACAGUACCAUUCAUUAUACCAGAACCUUGACUUAUUAGUGGUAACUGUAUUUAUAAAAUAGUUUAUUUUUAGCUCAUGAUUUUAAUUGAGAAUAUUUAGUUCAGUAAAUUUUUAAAAAAUUAACAAAUAACUUUUAUAUUUAAAUUUGCAUUUAUAAAGAGAUGAAGGAGAAGAGUAGGGUUUGCAUUAUUAUGUGCAAUACAUGAAGAAAUGAAAGUAGCUUCUCAGGAAAUAAAGGCAAAUCAUGAACUUCAUAUUGCAUCGUUCAUCAUUUACAUAGCCUGACAAUCUAAACUAGGAACUUUUUGAUCAGGUAACCAUCUAUAACACAACACUUACUUAAGUAAGCAGUCUAUGAUAUUUAUUGAUCACAUCUACAUUUGAACAGUAUAAUUACUGUUCUUAAAUUGCAAGUAGGAGACAUUAGUUCUGAGUAUUUAAACAAAAAGAGCAAUUUCCAGAAAGAAUAUAGUUUUGCUUAGAGAAUCAGAAGGUAAUCAGAUGAAAUUAUUCUCAGAAAAGAUAGGAGUCAGACCGUUCCAAAGAUCUACUCAUAAAUAAAUCUACUCCUAUAUAUAGAGAGAUUCAUGGGUACUUCUGGAGCUAACUCUGGACCAGUAAUGCAUUUAAUGUUGCCCUCUUUCUCUGCACCCCAUUCACGAAAAAGAGUGCUUUUGGCCGAGCCUCAGUCAUUGUCCUCUCCUAGGAACCUUGGUACUUGAUGCACAGUUCUUCCAAAUUGCCUGAACUCAGAGAGGGUAAGUCCCAGAAGGAACUUCAGAGCUCUGAGACUAGGAUCAGGAGUGGGUGUGGCAUAAAUAAAAACAUUAGAUAUUGCAAAACUCCCUUCUCAGAAGAGGCGUUCAAGAGCCAUCAAAUCACAAUGGCAAUAAUAUCUCCAAAAAUAAAGCUUUUGCCAGUAAAAGGAAUGUAGAUAAUGAUAAUGUUGCUCAGAUCUCAGUAAGUAUCUAUUAUCAUGAGAAAUUUACUUUUUCUUUCUUUGGUAAAUAUAUCUUUUGAGUGUGUGUGUGUGUGUGUGUGUAUGAUGUUCCAGUUUUCACACCAGGCAGUGAGCAUAAAAAUGUAAACAACAGAAUUACUCUUUGCUAUUUAUGGACCCUGUAUUCUAUUGAGAACUGAAAAUAAAGCCAUUGUAUAUCGCAUUAAUUAUAAGAUGGGUGGUAUAUUUGUUUCCCAGGGCUACUAUUAGAAAGAAC